This 619-nucleotide ribosomal RNA is filed under the name Streptomycetaceae bacterium. RNAcentral describes it as "bacterial SSU rRNA". It matches the Rfam family "Bacterial small subunit ribosomal RNA", at positions 230 to 859 of the family's 1533-position model. The record is from RNAcentral. Lineage: Bacteria; Bacillati; Actinomycetota; Actinomycetes; Kitasatosporales; Streptomycetaceae.
CCCGCGGCCUAUCAGCUUGUUGGUGGGGUAAUGGCCUACCAAGGCGACGACGGGUAGCCGGCCUGAGAGGGCGACCGGCCACACUGGGACUGAGACACGGCCCAGACUCCUACGGGAGGCAGCAGUGGGGAAUAUUGCACAAUGGGCGAAAGCCUGAUGCAGCGACGCCGCGUGAGGGAUGACGGCCUUCGGGUUGUAAACCUCUUUCAGCAGGGAAGAAGCGAAAGUGACGGUACCUGCAGAAGAAGCGCCGGCUAACUACGUGCCAGCAGCCGCGGUAAUACGUAGGGCGCAAGCGUUGUCCGGAAUUAUUGGGCGUAAAGAGCUCGUAGGCGGCUUGUCACGUCGGAUGUGAAAGCCCGGGGCUUAACCCCGGGUCUGCAUUCGAUACGGGCUAGCUAGAGUGUGGUAGGGGAGAUCGGAAUUCCUGGUGUAGCGGUGAAAUGCGCAGAUAUCAGGAGGAACACCGGUGGCGAAGGCGGAUCUCUGGGCCAUUACUGACGCUGAGGAGCGAAAGCGUGGGGAGCGAACAGGAUUAGAUACCCUGGUAGUCCACGCCGUAAACGUUGGGAACUAGGUGUUGGCGACAUUCCACGUCGUCGGUGCCGCAGCUAACGCA